GGCUUAAUGAAUAUAAUUUUAAGUCAAUCUGCCCAAUGAUUUUUAAAUUUAAUGGCUGCAGUAUAAUUGACUGUACAAAGGUAGCAUAAUCAAUUGUUUCUUAAUUAGAAACUGGUAUGAAAGAAUUAAUGAGAUAUAUACUGUCUCAUAUAUAUUAGAUUAAAUUAAAAUUUUAGUAAAAAUGCUAAAAUAAUUUUAUGGGACGAUAAGACCCUAUAGAAUUUUAUAUUAAUAUAUAGAUUUAAUUUAUUUUAUAAAUUAAUAUUUAAUUGGGAGGAUUGAUAAAUUUAUUGAACUUUAUUUUAAAUAUAAACUUUGAUUUAAGAAUUUUUAAUGAUCUUAUUUUAUAAAUUAUAAGAAAAAAUUACCUUAGGGAUAACAGCGUAAUAUCUUUUUAAAGGUCAAAUUGAUAAAGAUGAUUGCGACCUCGAUGUUGAAUUAAGAUAAAUUUUAAAUGGAGAAAUUUAAUAAUUAAGUCUGUUCGACUUUUAAAAUCUU
This 498-nucleotide ribosomal RNA is filed under the name Bombus sulfureus. RNAcentral's name for it is "partial 16S ribosomal RNA". The stretch from base 375 to 498 matches the Rfam family "Bacterial large subunit ribosomal RNA", at positions 2473 to 2597 of the family's 2925-position model. Lineage: Eukaryota; Metazoa; Arthropoda; Insecta; Hymenoptera; Apidae. The record is from RNAcentral.